Molecule: non-coding RNA, 663 nt
Organism: Neolamprologus brichardi
Lineage: Eukaryota; Metazoa; Chordata; Actinopteri; Cichliformes; Cichlidae
Source: RefSeq, a predicted model, not a curated record
UUCAAUAUCAUGAUUCCUUCUGUCUACUUUUUCUGUCUCCCAGGUAGGAGAGUUAAAGUGUCUGCUGCUGAGCUGGAAGAGUUUACAAAGCAGGCAGAGUGUCUGAACCUACAACCACCUGCUAUCUUGGAUUCAGAAAAAGGGUUUUGCCCAGAUCCAGAGCUCAGCCCAGGAACAAAGACUAUUGAUCUGACCUUGAGCAAAGAUAACGCCCGAUGAUCUCAACCUAUUUGAUAAGUUUUUCACUGAGAGUGGAAUGAAGACCAUUUUAGACAUGGUCCAAAGUAGUCUAUUCAAGGAAGACUGAAGUAGUCAUAAAUGUCACUAAGCCAUUCUUCUCUGACCUCUGGCGUUAACACAUUUUCUAAAUCUAAAGCCUACUUGAUCUCUUUGUCUGACCACUCUCUGUAAACCCUAGAUACUUGCUAUGUUAAAUGUUACUCAAAUCAACUGUCUUACCCAUUCUGAUGUUCCGAUUUGAGCUUCAGCAGGUUAUCUUGCGUCUUCAUGCUUAAAUAAACGGAGUUGCUGUCAUUUGAUUGGCUGAUUAGAAUGAAAGAGCAGGCGGACAGGUGUACCUUACAAAGAUGCCUGUCAGCGCUUAUUAUCUAGCAAAUAAUAGCAGCCAAGGAAGCAGUUAAUAAAAAAAUGAGUUGAAAAGAA